AUCCUGGCUCAGAGCGAACGUUAGCGGCGGGCCUAACACAUGCAAGUCGAAGCGAGAAAAGGGCUUCGGCCCUUAGUAAAGCGGCGGACGGGUGAGUAACACGUAGGUAAUCUUCCCUUGAGCCGGGGGACAACGAGCCGAAAGGCUCGCUAAUACCGCAUACGUUUCCAGAGGCCCCGGUCUUUUGGAAGGAAAGCUAGGCCGCAAGGUCCGGCACUCGAGGAGGAGCCUGCGUCGCAUCAGCUAGUUGGUGGGGUAACGGCCUACCAAGGCGAAGACGCGUAGCUGGUCUGAGAGGAUGAUCAGCCACACUGGGACUGAGACACGGCCCAGACUCCUACGGGAGGCAGCAGUGGGGAAUAUUGGACAAUGGGCGCAAGCCUGAUCCAGCCACGCCGCGUGAGUGAUGAAGGCCUUCGGGUCGUAAAGCUCUGUGGGGAGGGACGAACCGCUGCACGUUCAUAGCGUGCAGCAUGACGGUACCUCCUUAGCAAGCACCGGCUAACUUCGUGCCAGCAGCCGCGGUAA
RNAcentral lists this ribosomal RNA (528 nucleotides) under uncultured delta proteobacterium. Its description in RNAcentral is "bacterial SSU rRNA". It matches the Rfam family "Bacterial small subunit ribosomal RNA", at positions 16 to 523 of the family's 1533-position model. The record is from RNAcentral. Lineage: Bacteria; Deltaproteobacteria.